This 573-nucleotide ribosomal RNA is filed under the name uncultured Cenococcum. Its description in RNAcentral is "eukaryotic LSU rRNA". The stretch from base 211 to 364 matches the Rfam family "5.8S ribosomal RNA". The record is from RNAcentral. Lineage: Eukaryota; Fungi; Ascomycota; Dothideomycetes; Gloniales; Gloniaceae.
CUUGGUCAUUUACGAGAGAAGUAAAAGUCGUAACAAGGUUUCCGUAGGUGAACCUGCGGAAGGAUCAUUACAGAAAGUAAACGCGGAUCAAACCGCGAACUUCUAAACCUUUGACGAUUGACUCAUGUUGCCUCGGCGGGUUCUCCCGCCAGAGGAUACAUCAAAACUCCUGUUUUAACGGUGUUGUCUGAGCUACAAGCAACGAAUCAAAACUUUCAACAACGGAUCUCUUGGUUCUGGCAUCGAUGAAGAACGCAGCGAAAUGCGAUAAGUAGUGUGAAUUGCAGAAUUCAGUGAAUCAUCGAAUCUUUGAACGCACAUUGCGCCCCUUGGUAUCCCGAGGGGCAUGCCUGUUCGAGCGUCAUUUCACCACUCAAGCCUGGCUUGGUGUUGGGCGACGUCCCCUUUAGGGACGCGCCUCGAAACGCUCGGCGGCGUGGCACCGGCUUUAAGCGUAGCAGAAUCUUUCGCUUUGAAAGUCGGGGCCCCGUCUGCCGGAAGACCUACUCGCAAGGUUGACCUCGGAUCAGGCAGGGAUACCCGAUGAACUUAAGCAUAUCAAUAAGCGGAGGA